RNAcentral lists this unclassified non-coding RNA (376 nucleotides) under soil metagenome. RNAcentral's name for it is "partial contains 5.8S ribosomal RNA, internal transcribed spacer 2, and large subunit ribosomal RNA". The stretch from base 1 to 120 matches the Rfam family "5.8S ribosomal RNA", at positions 35 to 154 of the family's 154-position model. The record is from RNAcentral.
GAUGAAGAACGUAGCGAAAUGCGAUAAGUAAUGUGAAUUGCAGAAUUCAGUGAAUCAUCGAAUCUUUGAACGCAUCUUGCGCUCCUUGGUAUUCUGAGGAGCAUGCCUGUUUGAGUGUCAUUAAAUUCUCAACUACACUGACUUUGAAUUGGUGUGGCUUGGAUUUGGGGGGAAAAUUGUUGUGGGCUUUUUGUAUAGUCUGCUCCCCUGAAAUUGAUUAGCGGUACCUUUGUGGAACUGUCUACAGGUGUGAUAAUUAUCUACAUCUUAGACAUCUGCUGGAAUGCUGCUUUCUAAACCUUACUUGUAUUGACAAUCUUGACCUCAAAUCAGGUAGGACUACCCGCUGAACUUAAGCAUGUCAAUAAGCGGAGGA